GACGAACGCUGGCGGCGUGCUUAACACAUGCAAGUCGAACGGAAAGGCCCUGCUUUUGUGGGGUGCUCGAGUGGCGAACGGGUGAGUAACACGUGAGUAACCUGCCCUUGACUUUGGGAUAACUUCAGGAAACUGGGGCUAAUACCGGAUAGGAGCUCCUGCUGCAUGGUGGGGGUUGGAAAGUUUCGGCGGUUGGGGAUGGACUCGCGGCUUAUCAGCUUGUUGGUGGGGUAGUGGCUUACCAAGGCUUUGACGGGUAGCCGGCCUGGGAGGGUGACCGGCCACAUGGGGACUGAGAUACGGCCCAGACUCCUACGGGAGGCAGCAGUGGGGAAUAUUGCACAAUGGGCGGAAGCCUGAUGCAGCAACGCCGCGGGCGGGAUGACGGCCUUCGGGUUGUAAACCGCUUUCGCCUGUGACGAAGCGUGAGUGACGGUAAUGGGUAAAGAAGCACCGGCUAACUACGUG
This 468-nucleotide ribosomal RNA is filed under the name uncultured bacterium. RNAcentral describes it as "partial 16S ribosomal RNA". It matches the Rfam family "Bacterial small subunit ribosomal RNA", at positions 28 to 507 of the family's 1533-position model. The record is from RNAcentral.